AGUUUGAUCCUGGCUCAGAAUGAACGCUGGCGGUAGGCUUAACACAUGCAAGUCGGACGGAAACGAUAGAGAGCUUGCUUUCUAGGCGUCGAGUGGCGGACGGGUGAGUAACGCGUGGGAAUCUACCCUAUAGUUGGGGACAACAUAUGGAAACGUAUGCUAAUACCGAAUAUGAUCUACGGAUUAAAGGAGCCCUCUUCUUGAAAGGUUUUGCUAUAGGAUGAGCCCGCGUUAGAUUAGCUAGUUGGUAAGGUAAAGGCUUACCAAGGCCACGAUCUAUAGCUGGUUUGAGAGGAUGAUCAGCCACACUGGGACUGAGACACGGCCCAUACUCCUACGGGAGGCAGCAGCGGGGAAUAUUGCACAAUGGACGAAAGUCUGAUGCAGCCAUACCGCGUGUGUGAAGAAGGCCCGAGGGUUGUAAAGCACUUUCAGUUGGGAGGAAGGUAGUGUAGCUAAUACCUACAUUGCUUGACGUUACCCUUCAGAAGAAGCACCGGCUANCUCUGUGCCAGCCAGCCGCGG
Molecule: ribosomal RNA, 525 nt
Filed under: uncultured bacterium
Lineage: Bacteria
Description: bacterial SSU rRNA
Rfam family: Bacterial small subunit ribosomal RNA
Source: RNAcentral